UGGUUGGAGAAAUAAUGCAGUUAACAAAAAUUACUUUGAAAAUAGAUCUGUCUUUGAUAGCAGCACUGGAAUAAUUCAAAUACAAAAGUUAACAAAAAGUGACAAUGAUUCAUACACUUUGGAGUUUUUUUUAUCAGAAUGGAAGAGACACUCACAAGAGUUAUCACAAACUAAUAAUUGAAGCCCCAGUGUCCUCUGUGCUCUUGGAGCAGGAGUGUGUGUCCAAAGGAACGGUGAGGGCAUCCUGCGCCCCUCAGGGACGAGACAGUCCUGAGUACAUCUGGACUUUAAAUGGACAAACUCUCACAGACUCUGAGCUUCUCUCCAAAAACAAAGAAAACACCAUCCUCACCCUGAGACAAAACACAGUGGGACUGCUGCGCUGCUCUGUCAAAAAUCAGUCAAGAGUUUAAGGAGAUUCAUAUUAACAGUUGUGGAUACAUAUUCAUAAACUGCACGUUAAAUGGGACACAGAUAUCCGAUUGGGUUUAUAAAGCCAAUAACACCCUGUGCAUCGAACAAACCACAGCCGCUCCCAUCACUUCUGUGGGUAAGACAACAACCACCCAUCACAGUGUACCAGCCAGCUCCCCAAGCACUCCAGCUGGCUCUUGGUACAUUCAUGACUGGCCCAUUAUAUUUCGUUCACUGGUGUUUGUUUUCAUAACUGUUGUAUUCAUUUGUGUCCUGAAGACAACAAUAAGAGAGGUAUGCAAGUGUUCUGUACAUUUU
Long non-coding RNA from Periophthalmus magnuspinnatus, 732 nucleotides. RefSeq lists it as uncharacterized. Lineage: Eukaryota; Metazoa; Chordata; Actinopteri; Gobiiformes; Gobiidae. The record is from RefSeq and is a predicted model, not a curated record. The transcript has 4 exons.